GAUGAACGCUAGCGGGAGGCUUAACACAUGCAAGUCGAGGGAUAGUUUCAGCAAUGGGACGAAAACCGGCGCACGGGUGAGUAACGCGUAUGCAACCUGCCCUUAACCGGGGGAUAGCCCGUCGAAAGGCGGAUUAAUACCCCAUAACAUCAUCGUCCUGCAUGGGAAGGUGAUUAAAGCUUUGGUGGUCAAGGAUGGGCAUGCGUGACAUUAGCUGGUUGGCAGGGUAACGGCCUACCAAGGCGACGAUGUCUAGGGGUUCUGAGAGGAAGGUCCCCCACACUGGUACUGAGACACGGACCAGACUCCUACGGGAGGCAG
RNAcentral lists this ribosomal RNA (321 nucleotides) under uncultured Bacteroidota bacterium. Its description in RNAcentral is "bacterial SSU rRNA". It matches the Rfam family "Bacterial small subunit ribosomal RNA", at positions 28 to 351 of the family's 1533-position model. The record is from RNAcentral. Lineage: Bacteria; Pseudomonadati; Bacteroidota.